This 431-nucleotide ribosomal RNA is filed under the name uncultured Alphaproteobacteria bacterium. RNAcentral describes it as "bacterial SSU rRNA". It matches the Rfam family "Bacterial small subunit ribosomal RNA", at positions 958 to 1385 of the family's 1533-position model. The record is from RNAcentral. Lineage: Bacteria; Pseudomonadati; Pseudomonadota; Alphaproteobacteria.
AACGCGAAGAACCUUACCAGUCCUUGACAUGUCCACUAUGGGUCUGAGAGAUCAGAUCCUUCACUUCGGGUGGGUGGAACACAGGUGCUGCAUGGCUGUCGUCAGCUCGUGUCGUGAGAUGUUGGGUUAAGUCCCGCAACGAGCGCAACCCUCAUCUUCAGUUGCCCCCGGGUCAGGCCGGGCACUCUGAAGAAACCGCCGGUGACAAGCCGGAGGAAGGCGGGGAUGACGUCAAGUCCUCAUGGCCCUUACGGACUGGGCUACACACGUACUACAAUGGUGGUGACAAUGGGCAGCGAAAGCGCAAGCUGGAGCCAAUCCCCAAAAACCAUCUCAGUUCAGAUUGCACUCUGCAACUCGAGUGCAUGAAGUUGGAAUCGCUAGUAAUCGCAGAUCAGCACGCUGCGGUGAAUACGUUCCCGGGCCUUGUA